AGCUUUGCACAGUGGCAGUAUCAUAGCCAGUGAGGUUUAUCCAAGGCAUGGUUAUUACUAAUUGAAAAUAAGGUAUUGAUUA
This 82-nucleotide small nuclear RNA is filed under the name Mus pahari (shrew mouse). RNAcentral's name for it is "predicted gene, 26425 (MGP_PahariEiJ_G0033723.1)". The stretch from base 1 to 72 matches the Rfam family "U4 spliceosomal RNA". From Rfam's summary of the family: U4 small nuclear RNA (U4 snRNA) is a component of the major U2-dependent spliceosome. The structure of U4 snRNA from yeast and human has been reported. The record is from RNAcentral. Lineage: Eukaryota; Metazoa; Chordata; Mammalia; Rodentia; Muridae.